Molecule: long non-coding RNA, 230 nt
Organism: Myiozetetes cayanensis
Lineage: Eukaryota; Metazoa; Chordata; Aves; Passeriformes; Tyrannidae
Exons: 3
Source: RefSeq, a predicted model, not a curated record
CAGCUGGCUGACAGAGCCAAGAGGAGGCAGCUACACUUCAGUGUCAGUGCUUCCCGUAGUGGAGCUGCAAACUCUGGAGCACCUCUGACUGGGGCAGCCAAGCCCAGGAAAGUCAUCAGCUAAACAGGGCUCCCACGUCAUCUUCUACCCAAAGACUUCAAGAUGCAAGAAUGAAAUACAGUGAAAGUGUUUAUGGUGUUCAAGAAGGUUCUGUCCAGCCCCAGGUCCAG